UUGACAUUUCUAAACAUUCUCAAGCAAGUUCACUGGAAAACUAUCCCAUGUCAGGAGCUGGUGAUGUCAAGGCUAAUAACAGUCCUGGGGUCAAAUCCUUCUGAUCCUUCAGGCAAGGACCUCAAGAUUUGGCUCCAAGUCAACAACAAGGUCUGUCACGUCAAUGAUGGCUUAUUAUGAUCCCAGCGCAAGCCUUUCCCAAACAAAGUGCUUUCGUUUGGUUUCCCAUGCAGGAAAAGGUUAGCAGUUUCCAAAGGCAGGUUCUCGCUUCCUUGUGUGGAGUGGAGAGCAAAGCCAGUGAGCUUGGAACGGGCAACAGCACUUUUUCUUAAAGCAGGAGACAGACCUUCCUUGUGAACUGAAAACGCUGGUGCUCCCCAGCUGACACACACACCCCACCAGGUGGACUCCAGCUCUGCACACUCAUCCAAGGCAAUGCACACAGAAUAAGCACAAGGCAAUAAGCACUGCAGAUAUACCCAAUUUCCUAAAGCCACCAUCUGCUGUAAACCUGCCCUGCAGCAUAGUCACCAUUCUGGAAGGAGAAACACAGGAGAACUUGAAGCUCUUGGAGUGAAACAGUGCAAAGCACCUGCACGAGGUGCCAGUGGUCACCUGUGAAGCAGCUCCCUUGGAGUCACCACGUGUUGCCAUCACCAGACAGUGACAUCUCCCAUCUUUGGAGCAGGCUUGGCUGUGGAUCCAGAAGAGGGCAAUGGUGACACAUCCUCACCGAGGCUCCGAGCACCAAACCCACUGAGGGCAGCCACUGCAGGAGUGGAGCCAACAGCCAGACCACCUUGGCUAGUGGAUCUGCCUGUUCCUGGCUGUUUCGUGGCAAGCAGAUUGAAGUGGGAGGCAGCUUUCAGCUACUGUCUCAGGUCAGAUGGGACUGUCAGUCAAUUGUUAAUUAUGACUCUUCUUCUUACUAAUUUCUCUAACUUCUAUCACCAUGGCAGCUAACUGCCAUGGAAAGACUCAGACAGAAAAAAGAGAAGACAACCAAACUUUUCAUAGCAAGGGAACAGGAAUGAGCUACAGAGGAAAGGGGGUGGAGGAAGAGAUCUGUAAAUUGUUUUCCAGGAGAGUCUAACACAAUGUUCUGAAUCCUAAAAUGGCUUUUGUUGAAGGAACCUUAAAGAUCAUCCUGUUCCAACCUCCCUUCCACAGGCAGGUACACCUCCCACUAGACCAGGUGGCUCCAAGCCCUGUCCAAACUGGCCUUGGGCACUUCCAGGGAUGGGGCAGCCACAGCUUCUCUGGGCACACUGUGCCAGGGCCUCAGCACCCUCACAGGGAAUAAUUUAUUCACAAUAUCCCAUCUAACCCUGCCCUCUGUCAGUUUGAAGUCAUUCCCUUUUUUCCUAUUAUCACAUCUGCUCUGCCCUGACCUGGUCAGUCGAUCAGUUUUAAUCUUUGGUGAUGGCUGUGUGUCCAGAAAGGGCAAGGGGAGGAAAAAUUUGACAGCACUUUGAGCCCUGAUUAAUUUUUAAACUUCCUCCCUUUCUGCUUAUUUUGUAGCUUUUGUCCUGGUGCUGAAUGUGUUCUUUUCCCCUUGUGUGUCACUUCCAGAGGAAUACUGUGGAGAUGAAAUGCCAGUUGGUCAUCACAGGGCAUUUCACCUGUGGGGGCUGGAUGGAAACUCACGGGCUGGGGCCACACAGGGCCCAGGGACAAGUGGUGACUUCUGUCACUGCAGCAGCUCUCAGGAGCACGGUGACACAGAGCCUGAGUGCAUCAGUAGCAUGGGCAGAGCAGGUUGUGUGGGAUCAAUAAAACAAUGGCCAUUUUGUUGCUGUUUUGCAGCAACACCACGUAGUGCUUGCUGAAAUCACUGGCUGGUCCAUUCAGCAACUUUCAUUUCUGAUUAAGCUUUCCAGCCAGUAGGUAUCUUCUCUCACACCUGUCUUACCAUUUCCAUUUACAAGGGCUUAAUUUAGAAACCCAUUGUACUUGGGCCAGCACAGACCAAGCUAAUUUAUUUUACAUAACGCCUCAGCACUUUAGGAAUCAGUCUUGUUUUAAGUCCAUCCUGGAGGGAAGGAUGGACUUCUGCUUCAGGUUUUGGAUUGAGUUUUGAGAGAAACAGACCCUGUUCUGACAGUGUUCACAGAUUCCCCUAGACCUUUCCCAAAUCACUUACCCUGCUUUGAACCUAACCUUUGAGUCUGGAAAAUAAUCAAUGUGACACUUUCCUUAGCUCUGGUUUUAGGAUAAACAUAAUGUCUAGAUGGCAUCAAAGCCCUUGUGUUCUGUGCUUUAGAAGCAGAAUAAAAAGCUGAUUUCUGUGCUGGGGGACUCUGGUGCAAGACGAGGACAACGGGCAGGUGCAAGUCUGCUGAGAAGGAAUGCAACAAGGCAGAGCUGACAGGCAAAUAGACCUGGGCAUUGCUGCUGCCAGCUUCUCCAUGGGCAUCUCACCAGGGAUGGGAGCGAAUCCGUCCGUGGGCGGGCGCAGGAAGCGAGGGAGAGGCCUGGGAAUCCUGGUGGGUGAUCUUCCAGCAAACCUGGGCCGCAGGAGGCACAAACAGCCCCCUCCUCCUUGGCACAGGACUCAGCUGGCAAGAUCUGAUCUUUUUGUUCACUUGAGGCUUUUGUUUUUUCACUAAAUGCCCCCGGACUUUGCUUUUCAAGUCUCUUCCUUCUCUGUCGUUGUCACUGACACAGCAACAGGUGAGUUGGAGAAGUUACACGUGGGGAUGAUGAGUUGCACUGAGGAAAUGACUCAAACCCUUUGCAGACCCCCUUGGAGCCAGUAGAUCUGAAGACAGAUGCCCUCCAUCCACAGAGCUGCGAGCAUGGAUGAACCAUCCAGUGCCCUCCAGAGCUCUCAUCACCACCAGUCGAGCUCUUCCCCACCAAACAGCAGUGGAGGAAGCUCCAGAAGCGUCGCUUCUUUAUUUCAGUGCUGCCACACUCACUGACGUCCUCGCUGAGCCUCUUGCAGCAGCAGGCUGCUAAUCAGAAACUCUGCUGCUGCUGCUCAUCAAAACCUCUUUGCUCGCCACUUUGGCAUCAUUCUGGGAAGCCAACAGAGCGCGGAGAUGCUCAAUUCCUCCCCCUCCACACACCUUCCAUUGUCUUCAGGACUGACAGCUCUGAUGUGGAGCAGUGAUAAAAGCCAGCUGAUGCUGUCAGGGCCUGGUACAAUUGCACUGCAGGGAAAAAGGCGACUGGCUCUGAGUCAUCGGAGCCGCCUGGAGCUCAGGAUGCCUGGCACACGUGCUGUCUCCUGGCACGGCUCAGCACACAGCAGUGCACCUCUGGAUGCUCCCCUCUGAGGAGGGCUUGACCAGAGGGCUUGAGAAAAGCCAGGGCUGGUGGCCAAAUGCAUGGCCAGCCAUCCUUUGAGGUGACAGAAAAACGUACAGAGGUUUAAAAAAAUGACUUUUUUUGUAGAAUCAUAGAAUAUCCUGAGUUGGAAGGGACUCACAAGGAUCAUCAGUCCAAGUCUUGGCCCUGCAGAGACACUCCAACAAUCCCACCCUGUCCCUGAGAGCAGUGUCCAAACCCUCCUGGAGCUCUGGCAGCCUUGGGGCUGUGACCAUUCCCUGGGGAGUCUGGGCAGUGCCCACCACCCUCUGGGGGAAAAACUUUUCACUGAUCUCCAGCCUCAACUUCUCUGACACAGCUCCAGCCAUUCCCUGGGUCCUGUCCCUGCUCCCAGAGAGCAGAGAUUGGAACUGCCCCUGUGCUGCCUCUUGGGAGGAGCUGCAGCCCCAGAUGAGAUCUGACCUCUGCUGAAGCCUUUGGUGUGUAAGGAGCAGUAGAGGUGCUUGGUUGGCUGUUCCUGUACCUGACCUGUGUUCAGGGGUGUUUACCAAAGCAUUUGUGCAACCCCUGAGUGGCAAUCUAGGAAGUAACACCUCUCCUUCAGCUCCUCACAUUCCUUCCCAUCCUAUGGAACGGGCUGAGUUGUGGUUGAAUUUCUGGAAGGCUCUAAAUGAGAGGGAUCCAGACCUGAAAAUGCAUCAGCAGUGCCAAGCCAAGCCAGGAAGGACAUUCAAAUAGGGGAAAUUGGACUGUGAUGUGAACUUCUCAGUGACCUUGAGUAAACUGGCUCAGUGCUGCCCAACCUGCCCAGGUCAGCAGCUGAAAUUUCCAUUACUGAAAGUAGAAACUCAGGGGUCAUUUCUGUUUUCAUUUCUCACUUUUUCCCAAACAUGACAUUGAAUGAGAGGCAUUAGGAGUUCCUCCUAUAAAUAGGAUCACCCCUGUCAAAGCUGGUUAAGUCAUAGCCAGUGUCAAGCCCAUAAACAAGGUGCCUCUCAUGCACUGUCUGGAGGGGGCAGAGGGGCUAAAGGGAAGUGUGACAGCUCACUGUUUGACCACUUUGCAUGGGGACCUUGCUGUUUGCAAGGCAGCAAACCUAAUCAUCCCCAGCUCCCAUCUGGAGGAUUUUUGGAAGUGGUGCAGAGGCAGAUAGUUGAGGACCACUGCUCUCUGUUGCAGGAGAAGUGAACUCUUCCAGCUCCCAGCCUCACAGGUGCUGGGCCCUCCAUGGCUGCUGUCAUGGCAGGGGUUAAACACCCUGAUUUCCUCUCUUCCUUCACGGUUUUUCCCCAGUUCUGCCCUGGAAGUCUGGGAUGACCUGGAAACCCUGCACUCCCACUUGUCUCUGUUUCCCCUGGAGGGAGCUGCAGUUUCCUCCUCCUUUGGAGCUCCCCAGUUCCUCUUCAUCUCCAGGAGAAGCAGCAGUUCCAGUGACAUCCGUGACAAAGCAGCCUUGCCACGUGGCAAGUCAGCUGGGGCAUGGCAGUGAAGCCAGAGACACAAAGCAAAGGAGGGAAACAAGGGAGCUGUAAGUGUCCCCCCGUGCCAGCUGCAGGGACAUCUGCAUGGAGCUGCCUUGGCAGAGCUGCAGGGUCACCAGGGCUGUGCGUGGCCGUGGUGGCUCCAGAGCAGAGAACUCAGGACAGCAGGAGCUGAUGGA
Passer domesticus (house sparrow) is the source of this 4933-nucleotide long non-coding RNA. RefSeq lists it as uncharacterized. The record is from RefSeq and is a predicted model, not a curated record. The transcript is spliced from 4 exons. NCBI's taxonomy places the organism in Eukaryota, Metazoa, Chordata, Aves, Passeriformes, Passeridae.